RNAcentral lists this ribosomal RNA (233 nucleotides) under uncultured bacterium. RNAcentral describes it as "partial 16S ribosomal RNA". It matches the Rfam family "Bacterial small subunit ribosomal RNA", at positions 100 to 334 of the family's 1533-position model. The record is from RNAcentral.
CGGGACGGGUGGGUAAUGUCUGGGAAACUGCCCGAUGGAGGGGGGUAACUACUGGAAACGGUAGCUAAUACCGCAUAACGUCGCAAGACCAAAGAGGGGGACCUUAGGGCCUCUUGCCAUCGGAUGUGCCCAGAUGGGAUUAGCUAGUAGGUGGGGUAAUGGCUCACCUAGGCGACGAUCCCUAGCUGGUCUGAGAGGAUGACCAGCCACACUGGAACUGAGACACGGUCCAG